GUCACGGGGACACAUCUUCGUCGUUUAGGUGAAGCAGGACUCAUGAGCGGGUCAAAAUCCAGGGUCCUCUUCAGGGUGGCUCCGCACGCCAUCACUUCAGAUUGUUAAAGGGAGAAUGUAGGUCUCGCUUUUUUUCAACCUUGUCCUCGGUGGCUCCGUCAAUGCAGUCACUCAGCCAGACAGAAACGUCACACGAAUCUGUAAUGUCCCAGAUGUUCAGCCUGAGGACAGCAGAGGUGACGACGACAGCUGUGGACACGGUGAGCUCCCCCAUGUUCUUUGAGGCCAAGCAGAAGGAGACGCCAUUAAAAAAUAACCAGGGAAACUCAUAUUGAGUUUGUUAAAAAAAAGAUUACAUAUUGUAUUAAGAGAUGAGAAAUUGGGGCAAUUAAAUGAUGUAAAUUGCCUGCAAAUUUCAAUGAUGCAGAACAAAAAAACGUAAUCCGCCUAAAGAUAAUAUUUGAAAAGCUUGACAUAAAUGGUGAUUUUUUUUUAGCACCUAGGAGUAUGUGUUAGUCACAGUUUUGUAAACAAAUCUUUUCUCAUACAGUAUUUUUCUUUUUUUUACCAAGAUGAAGUUGGAUUAAAUAUAUGACCCAAAUUUAUGUUUAGUUUCUUUACCAUGGUUAGCAUUUUUUAGUGUCUUUACGUUGGGUCCCUCCAAGAUGAUAAUUUUAUCUUAUGCAUGUAUCUCUAUGGAAUGUCUAAUGAAAACUGUAUAUCAAAUUAACACGACUGUGCUUAAUAUAUAUUUAUAUAUGUCUGCAUAGGUGCACAUUUUUUCAUAUAUACACAC
Molecule: long non-coding RNA, 796 nt
Organism: Cynoglossus semilaevis (tongue sole)
Lineage: Eukaryota; Metazoa; Chordata; Actinopteri; Pleuronectiformes; Cynoglossidae
Exons: 3
Source: RefSeq, a predicted model, not a curated record